Molecule: microRNA precursor, 196 nt
Filed under: Oryza punctata
Lineage: Eukaryota; Viridiplantae; Streptophyta; Magnoliopsida; Poales; Poaceae
Description: MIR812 microRNA precursor family
Rfam family: MIR812 microRNA precursor family
Source: Rfam by way of RNAcentral
AAUAAGUGCAGUUUUACAAUAUUUAUGUUCAAUUUUGAUCGUCCAUCUUAUUUGAAAAAAUUUUAUGAUUAGUAUUUUUGUUGUUAUUAGAUGAUAAAAUAUGAAUAGUACUUUAAUUUUUUUAAUUUUUUUAUAAAUUUUUCAAAUAAAACAAAGGGUUAAACAUUGGAUACAGAUAUUUACGAUUGCGCUUAUU